This 477-nucleotide ribosomal RNA is filed under the name uncultured bacterium. RNAcentral's name for it is "partial 16S ribosomal RNA". It matches the Rfam family "Bacterial small subunit ribosomal RNA", at positions 29 to 523 of the family's 1533-position model. The record is from RNAcentral.
AGUGAACGCUGGCGGCGUGCCUAACACAUGCAAGUCGAACGAUGAUGGAGGAGCUUGCUCUUCCUGAUUAGUGGCGCACGGGUGAGUAAUGCAUAGAUAAUGUGCCCCUUAGUUCGGGAUAGCCACUGGAAACGGUGAUUAAUACCGGAUACUCCUUCUUGUCAUAAGAUAAGUCGGGAAAGUUUUUCGCUAAGGGAUCAGUCUAUGUUCCAUCAGUUAGUUGGUGAGGUAACGGCUCACCAAGACAAUGACGGAUAUCUGGUUUGAGAGGAUGAUCAGACACACUGGAACUGAGACACGGUCCAGACUCCUACGGGAGGCAGCAGUGAGGAAUAUUGCACAAUGGAGGAAACUCUGAUGCAGCAACGUCGCGUGGAGGAUGACGCAUUUCGGUGUGUAGACUCCUUUUAUUAGGGAAGAUUAUGACGGUACCUAAUGAAUAAGCACCGGCUAACUCCGUGCCAGCAGCCGCCGUAA